This 164-nucleotide ribosomal RNA is filed under the name Pinanga caesia. RNAcentral's name for it is "5.8S rRNA". It matches the Rfam family "5.8S ribosomal RNA". Rfam says of the family: 5.8S ribosomal RNA (5.8S rRNA) is a component of the large subunit of the eukaryotic ribosome. It is transcribed by RNA polymerase I as part of the 45S precursor that also contains 18S and 28S rRNA. Lineage: Eukaryota; Viridiplantae; Streptophyta; Magnoliopsida; Arecales; Arecaceae. The record is from RNAcentral. RNAcentral also lists the same sequence under 1 other name.
ACGAUGACUCUCGGCAACGGAUAUCUCGGCUCCUGCAUCGAUGAAGAACGUAGCGAAAUGCGAUACCUGGUGUGAAUUGCAGAAUCCCGUGAACCAUCGAGUCUUUGAACGCAAGUUGCGCCCGAGGCCACCCGGUCGAGGGCACGCCUGCCUGGGCGUCACGC